This is a non-coding RNA of Heterocephalus glaber (naked mole-rat), 938 nucleotides long. NCBI's taxonomy places the organism in Eukaryota, Metazoa, Chordata, Mammalia, Rodentia, Bathyergidae. The record is from RefSeq and is a predicted model, not a curated record.
AGGAUAGGAUGUGCCAGCCUCUCCAGGAGACAGACAGUCUUCCCAAUAUGAACAUCCUAAUUCUGUCCCAGGAAACCCAGCUCCCCUGUGCUGGGGAGAUAGUUUGGCAGUUCUCUCAGAAUGCUCCUUACCUGCUGCUGGUCACAAACUUUCUUCACUCUUCUAUCCCCUCAUGGUAUUUACUAGCUUUGAACUCACCAAGGGCCAAACCCAACUCUGUUCCUUCACAAACUUCCAUAACAGUCAGAAAAACUAAGGGAUUGGAGAUGAGGUGGGCUGCUGAUGGCUUAGCAGCACUGACAAGACUAAUCUGGAAACCAACUUGCCAUCAUCCUGCUUCUUGGGCAGCCAAGGAAAAUGAGAUCGCAGGAGGGUACCUGGAGCCUAGUAGGGCAGCUGGCAGCCUGGACUUCUGAAGACCCAGCAGAUGCCAGCCAGAGGCGACUGCUCAGUCAUUUACUUUCCCGUCAUGACAUUGCUUGGGCACAAAUCCAGGAGAUCAGUGCCCUCUGGAAAAGUACCCGGCAGAGAUGCACCUGCUCCCUGGCCUGUGACUUGAGCUGGCUGAUCAUAAAAGGCAGGUUCCCCAGGACACCUGCCACACCACUCUGCCUGUGCACAGAGAGCCCUCCAGGAAGUGAGAGGGCCUAGAGCAGCCUCCUCAGGCAGAUGCUUUACCUCCUGCUAAGGCCUUGAGCAACAGCUUGACAUCAGAAGCCCUCACCUCCUGCUUGACACUGGAUGCAAACUCCAGGAAUUCCUGAGGAAAUGUGUGCUGAAAAUGCACUGGCAGUGAAGGACAAUCCAGUCUGAACUGCAGCGAACUUCAGCCCAAAAGAUUCAACCACCUCUGUUAAUUUGGGAGGGGAAGAUGCAGUUCAAUUGGCCCAGCACGUAGUUCUCUGGAAAUGGACUCUGGUGUUGUUAAUGUUACAAAG